GAUGAACGCUGGCGGCGUGCCUAAUACAUGCAAGUCGAGCGAACAGAUGAGGAGCUUGCUCCUCUGACGUUAGCGGCGGACGGGUGAGUAACACGUGGAUAACCUACCUAUAAGACUGGGAUAACUUCGGGAAACCGGAGCUAAUACCGGAUAAUAUAUUGAACCGCAUGGUUCAAUAGUGAAAGACGGUUUUGCUGUCACUUAUAGAUGGAUCCGCGCCGCAUUAGCUAGUUGGUAAGGUAACGGCUUACCAAGGCAACGAUGCGUAGCCGACCUGAGAGGGUGAUCGGCCACACUGGAACUGAGACACGGUCCAGACUCCUACGGGAGGCAGCAGUAGGGAAUCUUCCGCAAUGGGCGAAAGCCUGACGGAGCAAUGCCGCGUGAGUGAUGAAGGUCUUCGGAUCGUAAAGCUCUGUUAUUAGGGAAGAACAAAUGUGUAAUUAACUAUGCACGUCUUGACGGUACCUAAUCAGAAAGCCACGGCUAACUACGUG
RNAcentral lists this ribosomal RNA (497 nucleotides) under uncultured bacterium. Its description in RNAcentral is "partial 16S ribosomal RNA". It matches the Rfam family "Bacterial small subunit ribosomal RNA", at positions 28 to 507 of the family's 1533-position model. The record is from RNAcentral.